This 148-nucleotide non-coding RNA is filed under the name Homo sapiens (human). The record is from Rfam by way of RNAcentral. Lineage: Eukaryota; Metazoa; Chordata; Mammalia; Primates; Hominidae.
GCUGGGUGUGGUGGUGGGCGCCUGUAAUCCCAGCUACUUGGGAGGCUGAGGCAGGAGAAUCGCUUGAAUCCAGGAGGUGGAGGCUGCAGUGAGCCGAGAUCAUGCCACUGCACUCCAACCUGGGUGACAGAGCGAGACUCUGUCUCCA